GUAGAGGUCUAUCCAUACAGGGUUUCCUGUAGCCUGCACAUCAUUGGAAAUGCCUCGGAGAGUAACUCUGAAGGUUUGCUUUACUCACAGGACUAUUUGUUAGACCUGUGAGAAGGAACUACAAGACAGAG
This 131-nucleotide small nucleolar RNA is filed under the name Carlito syrichta (Philippine tarsier). Lineage: Eukaryota; Metazoa; Chordata; Mammalia; Primates; Tarsiidae. The record is from RNAcentral.